Molecule: ribosomal RNA, 252 nt
Filed under: uncultured bacterium
Lineage: Bacteria
Description: partial 16S ribosomal RNA
Rfam family: Bacterial small subunit ribosomal RNA
Source: RNAcentral
UACGUAGGUCCCGAGCGUUGUCCGGAUUUAUUGGGCGUAAAGCGAGCGCAGGUGGUUUAUUAAGUCUGGUGUAAAAGGCAGUGGCUCAACCAUAGUAUGCAUUGGAAACUGGUAGACUUGAGUGCAGGAGAGGAAAGUGGAAUUCCAUGUGUAGCGGUGAAAUGCGUAGAUAUAUGGAGGAACACCGGUGGCGAAAGCGGCUCUCUGGCCUGUAACUGACACUGAGGCUCGAGAGCGUGGGGAGCAAACAGG